ACUCCUACGGGAGGCAGCAGUGGGGAAUAUUGGACAAUGGGUUACGAACCUCGAUGCCAGCCAUGCGCGUGUGUGAAGAAGGCCUUCGGGUUGUAAAGCACUUUCAGUGGGGAGGAAAGGUUGAUGGUUAAUACCUAUCAGCUGUGACGUUACCCACAGAAGAAGCACCGGCUAACUCCGUGCCAGCAGCCGCGGUAAUACGGAGGGUGCAAGCGUUAAUCGGAAUUACUGGGCGUAAAGCGUGCGCAGGCGGUCUGUUAAGCGAGAUGUGAAAGCCCCGGGCUCAACCUGGGAACUGCAUUUCGAACUGGCAGACUAGAGUCUUGUAGAGGGGGUAGAAUUCCAGGUGUAGCGGUGAAAUGCGUAGAGAUCUGGAGGAAUACCGGUGGCGAAGGCGGCCCCCUGGACAAAGACUGACGCUCAGGCACGAAAGCGUGGGGAGCAAACAGGAUUAGAUA
Molecule: ribosomal RNA, 458 nt
Filed under: uncultured bacterium
Lineage: Bacteria
Description: bacterial SSU rRNA
Rfam family: Bacterial small subunit ribosomal RNA
Source: RNAcentral